UAUGUUUAGACAUACUUAUUUAUAUUUGAAAGGGAGAGAAGGAAAGACAGAUCUUCCAGCUACUGGUACACUCCCCAAAUGGCUGCAAUGACUGGCUAUUCUGAAGCCAGGACCUGGGAAACUUCUUCAGGGUCUCCCCCAUGGAUGCAGCGGCCCCGUCACCUUAGGUUAUCUCCGGCUGCUUUCCCAGGCACAUGAACAGGAAGCUGGAUCAGAAAUGGAGCAAUGGGGGCUUGAACUGGGUGCCCCUCUUGGAUGCUGGCGCUACAGGUGGAGGCUUAACAUGCUUUACCACAAUGCUUGCCCUGUCAUUUCAUUUCUUAUAAAAAUGAUUGUUUCAUAUCUUUUAUGUAAACCUGUGCAAAAUAUAUAUAUGUGGGAGGAACUAGCCUAAAGUGCCUAGGUUUGUUCCUAAUUGUGGGAGAGUGGAGCAGUUUGAUCUUGUUACAAAUGUGUUCCUAACUGAGUGCCUUUGAUGCCGACUGUUUAUGAAAUGCACGCAUCUGGGUCUCCUUUGGUCAUCGUAAAGAGUGUGUGAUAGGGGUACAGGACCCUUCCCACUUCACAGAUAACAGCAUUGGGAAGCUAAUAGGAAAAGUACCUGACCUGUGGUUCUCCACUUAGCAACUCAGGCAGACACUGGAAUGUGAACCGUCGCAGAACAAAUCACGCACAAGCCGUCACACAGCAGAGAUGACCACAGUCCCCAAAGACCCAGCCCUAACUCCCCAAGGCAUCAUACCCCAUGAGGUCUCAGCUCUCCCCUCUUCUCCCACCUCCAUGAGGCCCAGGACCGGUCUGCUACAUGCUUGGUUGACUCCCAGCACCCUAUGCAACACUUGGCACCCACAGUGGCUUGUGGAACCCAAGUGAAUGAGUAGAUGUGAGCAAAGGUGGAGCCGAGAAGACCAGAAACCUAAGGCCGAGAACCUGCAGGCCUGGGAGUGACUGCAUGAGGAUUGUCGCCCAGGGCACUCGUGUGCCCUUGUGUCUCUACCCAGUGGACUUCGUGCCCAAGUACCCUCUAGUGACUUCAUGCUGUGUCAGCAAGAGGCCACGCGGACUGAGACACAACCGUGAGACGUCCAACAUGGGGUCAGCCUUGGGACUGCUUGCAUGGAAAUGAGGGCCUGAGAACUUCAUUUAUUGAGAGACAAUACGGAGAAGGUCUGCCAUCACCAAGACAUUGAUUCAGACAGCCCCACGCAUGAGGCUGGGCGGUCACUGGGGCCAGAAGGGAUGCUGACACCACCGUAACACAGGAACUCAGCAGUGAAGAAAUCUACUCUGAAUCUGACUGUGGUACCUCAGGGAGCUUACAGCCCAGGAGGAAGAAGACCAAGGGUCACCAGAUUGGUGCUACCAGGUGGAGGAGGGGAAGCAGGCUGCAGCCGGGAUGGUCAGCUGGCCAGGCCACAGGGGAGCUACGGGACCCCGGGAGCUGUCACCGCUGACUGAUGGAUGGGGACAGCUUCCAGUCACUGGCCAGCCCUGCCACGAGCCCUGUGGCCAUCUCUGCGGCCAGCCGCCCACACUGGCCUCCCGGGGCCCCAGUGCCUCGCUUUGAACAUCCAUAAGGCCUUUUGUUCCCGCAGCAGGAGCCAGGCAGGCUGUGGUGGAGGGACCUCUUUUAGAGGAAGGAGUUUCCUGCUGAGGCCUCCCCCUGUCCCUGACCCCUGCUGUGUCCUUCUAAUUACCUGUGGGCGGGAGGAGUGGACUGAGGGGUCCAGCUGGGCCCCUAGGAAUC
This is a long non-coding RNA of Ochotona curzoniae (black-lipped pika), 1747 nucleotides long. RefSeq lists it as uncharacterized. NCBI's taxonomy places the organism in Eukaryota, Metazoa, Chordata, Mammalia, Lagomorpha, Ochotonidae. The transcript is spliced from 5 exons. The record is from RefSeq and is a predicted model, not a curated record.